Long non-coding RNA from Schistocerca cancellata (South American locust), 674 nucleotides. RefSeq lists it as uncharacterized. The record is from RefSeq and is a predicted model, not a curated record. The transcript has 2 exons. NCBI's taxonomy places the organism in Eukaryota, Metazoa, Arthropoda, Insecta, Orthoptera, Acrididae.
AUGUAUCCCCUUUAUUAUUAUAUAUCUAGUUAUGUACCAUAUGGCGCUCUAGUAGGUAUAUAAAAACACGCUCCUGUUCCAAUGCAAUGUUGUGUCAAGAUUUCUAAGCUAUCGGUGACGUGAAAGCAGACAUUUCCAUUUCUAUUGUACAGAUGUCAGUCUGGUGCGUCAUGGUAUAAAACUUUCCAUCCCCAUCAGUGAAUGCUCAGGGUAUAUACAGACUUUUUUAUUGAUAGGUGAGAGACCAGACGGAAACCAGAAAAUAAAUAGACUUGUGUGGGAAACAUUAUUACCUAACAUUCAGUAGCUAAACGAAGUCAGAAAUGCUUUUUUGAAUUCUAAAAUUUAUUUAUUCAUUUGUAAUACAUUUUUGUUUAUAGUUUUGAAAAAUGAAAAGGAAGAUCUUGAUAUAGAAACAGAAAAAGUAUUUUAAAUGUCUAAUCUGUAAAGAAAGAAACGGUUAUAACAAACUAGAGCCUCCUAUUUCUGGAAUGUGCCAGCAGUCCGCUCAGCCGCUGUGGAAGGAAAUGGACGCCCCCCAGCGGUCUUGCAGCGCCUGGUCCCCAGCAGCUCCGUCGCCCACCACCGGCUGUACCGGCUCCUGGUUGCUGGCGGCAUCUCCGCUAGGGACAGCUGGUACGUUUGCAGGUUCCUGCGCCAUCGCGGCCACAACC